RNAcentral lists this ribosomal RNA (501 nucleotides) under uncultured bacterium. RNAcentral's name for it is "partial 16S ribosomal RNA". It matches the Rfam family "Bacterial small subunit ribosomal RNA", at positions 30 to 523 of the family's 1533-position model. The record is from RNAcentral.
AUUGAACGCUGGCGGCAUGCCUUACACAUGCAAGUCGAACGGCAGCACGGGUGCUUGCACCUGGUGGCGAGUGGCGAACGGGCGAGUAAUAUAUCGGAACGUACCUUAUUGUGGGGGAUAACGCAGCGAAAGCUGUGCUAAUACCGCAUAAUCCCUUAGGGGGAAAGCGGGGGACCGUAAGGCCUCGCGCAAUUAGAGCGGCCGAUACCUGAUUAGCUAGUUGGUGAGGUAAAGGCUCACCAAGGCGACGAUCAGUAGCUGGUCUGAGAGGACAAUCAGCCACACUGGGACUGAGACACGGCCCAGACUCCUACGGGAGGCAGCAGUGGGGAAUUUUGGACAAUGGGGGCAACCCUGAUCCAGCAAUGCCGCGUGAGUGAAGAAGGCCUUCGGGUUGUAAAGCUCUUUUGUCAGGGAAGAAACAGCAGCUCUAACACAGUAUGCGAAUGACGGUACCUGAAGAAUAAGCACCGGCUAACUACGUGCCAGCCGCCGCAGUAA